Molecule: ribosomal RNA, 164 nt
Filed under: uncultured bacterium
Lineage: Bacteria
Description: partial 16S rRNA
Rfam family: Bacterial small subunit ribosomal RNA
Source: RNAcentral
UAGGGAAUCUUCCACAAUGGACGCAAGUCUGAUGGAGCAACGCCGCGUGAGUGAAGAAGGUCUUCGGAUCGUAAAACUCUGUUGUUAGAGAAGAACAUGCAGGAGAGUAACUGUUCUUGUAUUGACGGUAUCUAACCAGAAAGCCACGGCUAACUACGUGCCCG